This 502-nucleotide ribosomal RNA is filed under the name uncultured bacterium. RNAcentral describes it as "partial 16S ribosomal RNA". It matches the Rfam family "Bacterial small subunit ribosomal RNA", at positions 28 to 523 of the family's 1533-position model. The record is from RNAcentral.
GAUGAACGCUAGCGACAGGCUUAACACAUGCAAGUCGAGGGGCAGCGGGGGCGUAGCAAUACGCCUGCCGGCGACCGGCGCACGGGUGAGUAACACGUAUGCAACCUGCCCGUCACAGGGGGAUAAGCGGAAGAAAUUCCGUCUAAUACCGCGCAGCACCUGCGGAGGGCAUCCUCUGCAGGUUAAAGAAUUUCGGUGACGGAUGGGCAUGCGGCGCAUUAGCUAGUUGGCGGGGUAACGGCCCACCAAGGCGACGAUGCGUAGGGGUUCUGAGAGGAAGGUCCCCCACACUGGUACUGAGACACGGACCAGACUCCUACGGGAGGCAGCAGUGAGGAAUAUUGGUCAAUGGGCGCGAGCCUGAACCAGCCAAGUCGCGUGAGGGAAGACGGCCCUACGGGUUGUAAACCUCUUUUGUCGGGGAGCAAAUGCGCCACGUGUGGCGCUGCGAGAGUACCCGAAGAAAAAGCAUCGGCUAACUCCGUGCCAGCAGCCGCCGUAA